GCCCUGUGGAAAGUUGUCCCUGGCUCCUGCCACCUUCCAUCUCUUCACAUCUCAGCUGGUUUUAAUUAGUUCCCUUCAAAGUCCCCCAAAGCAACGGAGCCACGUUAGCGCCCGCCAGCUGCCAAGACGCUCCAGUGUGUGUGUUUGGGGGGCGGGCGUCGGGGGCCGCAGAAGCCAGCUCGCGUUGCUGAGCCGCAGGGGCUUUGCCGCUUCUGGGCCAAGAGCACGGGGCGGAGGGCACUUCUGGCCGGGGUCCCGGGGCGGCCGGCGCUGCCCGGCAAGGACGCUGCGGCCCCACGGGGGUGGAGGGGGGCGCUGGCCUGGACGCCCGAGACUCCGACCUGGCCUGCAUUUCCGGGGGGCCCCUGAACACACAGAACCCCCGGGACUCCCCGAAGCCCCUGCUCUGCUCCCACGUACGUGCAGCAAAGUCUUAUUUCUACCAGCCGUGCCGGGCACCUCAGCCACAGACCCCGGCAGGCCCCCAGCGGCCGGGUGGAAACAAGGGAGGCAGGAGCUGGGGGUGGCCGCGGGGAGUGUGGUGGCCUGUUCCUGCCCCCCUCUGGGGCGCCGAGCUGCUCGGCCCCACCCACGUGUCCUGGUGGCAUCGUGGCCCCAGCGGGGACGCCUUCUUUGGGUUUCCAACAGAGGCCUGGGGAUUUGCGUGGACUUCUGUGAUUUUAAAAACAGCUUGUGGCAAGUGUUGACAUGGAGGGUUCCUGGGACCGUGUGCCAGCAGCCCCUCAUUACAAGGUGGGCCUGGGGUCCCCAGGGGAGCCGUGUGCCCCGGUCACUGCUACACAGUCACUGAGGACCUCAAUUUGGGGCUCCUCACCCUUCAUCCCCCUAAACUGGCACCAUCCUUUGGAUGAAAAAGUGCAGCCUGUGACCUGACCUCAUCAGCAUACACCAGAUGGGAAGGUCAGAUUUUUCAGCAAAUAUGCAUUCCGUCCUCCCUGGCCUCUGGGGUAGGACUGGAUGCUGUCCUUGCCAAUAAAAUGUGGGUGGGCGGGAUGACGCGUGAGUCCCGAGCCUAGGGCUCUAAGGAGAAGCUGCAUGUCUGGGCUCCUUGGGGAGCUCCUGACCUUGUCUGGGACAGGAGCAAGCCCUAGAGGCCCACCGACCAGGAAGGACGUGGGCAGCCCAGAGCCUCACUCCACCGAGCACAGUCCAGGUCAGAUGCAUCACGGCCGACCCAGGGAUGAGUGAGUGAGAAGAAACGGUUAUUGCCGUGUGUCACGGAGACUCCUGUGCUUACUUGUUACACAGCCAGAGCUGAUGGACACCGAUCGAGAGCUGGUAAAGACUGUGGGCACAGGGAGAGAGGGCAGCUAGAGUCUGCAGAGCACUUCCUGCAUACCUGCUCUUGCAGGGGUCAUCUGAUUGUACGUCCUUUUUAAAAAUUAUAUUUAUUUAAAUUUAUUCAUUUUUUUAAACCAAUAGGCCCGCUUCCUUAUUGUGGAGCAGCUAUUUCUCCAUUUGAGACUGGAGGAGUGAGCUCAGACUGGGGAAGUGAGCUGCUCAAGGCCACGUGGCCACAAAGGGCAGAGCUGGGAUCUGAGCCCACGUAUGUGUCCCCGGAGUGCAUGUGUUCAGCCAGUGUGCCAGCACCAUCUAAUAUGGUGGCCACUAGCUAACCUGUGGCGAUUCAAAUGUAACUGAUUAAAUUAGAUAAAACUGCAAAUUUCAUUCUUCUCUCACCCAGGCACCCUUCAAGUGCUCCACGCGUCCUGUGGCUGGUGGCUGCGCGCUAGAGUGCACACACAUGCAACAGUCCUGGCACCCCAGGGAGUUCCGUCCUGUGGGUGUGGACUCAGGCCAGCCAUCUGGCUGCCCCAGAGGGCCCACGGGCCAGCGCGACCUCGGCCACUGCGAGCUCUGUGGCCUCGGUCACCGUGAGCACCGUGGUCUCCACGUCAGCUCGCAGCCCAUCUCAGGCUUGUCACCUGCAGGACUGGUGAUGCGGAAGAUGAGUGGUCUUCUCAGCCUCUUCCAGAACCUUGCAGGGUCUCUGGGCCAGCUGGCAACGGCUCUGACAGACACAGCUGUCCCCUUGGGGUUGUCAGGGCCACACAUCAAAGUCUAGACUGCCCCGGGAAAUCCCAGAAGCUGGGUGAUGGAGACAGGGUGACAGAGGGGCAGUACGUAGGGGAUCAAGCUGCCUGGGUCCUGGGGCUGAGGUGAGGGUGCAAGGGGAGAUGGUCUGGGGGGAAGCGGCAGGGCCAGCCUGGCCUCACCACUGGGACAGGGGCACACAUCUACACACGUCAGCCUCUAGGAGCUCCUCUCCAGAGCCCGGAUGCUUUGGGGGUACUUUCUGGUUGCAUCCCAGAUCCAUCAUGGCCUGGGGAGAGCUGUCCCCACAUUCCUCAUGCACCGUGAUCACAGAGGCCCAGAGAGGGUGAGGGCCCCGCCUGAGGGCACACGGCAGUGAGAGGCAGAGCCCACACACAGUCUGAGCCCCCCUAGCAAUGCGCCCCUCCUCACGCGGAUCCCACCCCCGGGCUGGGCGGCUCACGGACUUCGUUUCUGCA
Molecule: long non-coding RNA, 2534 nt
Filed under: Canis lupus familiaris (dog)
Lineage: Eukaryota; Metazoa; Chordata; Mammalia; Carnivora; Canidae
Description: lncRNA (ENSCAFG00040012222.1)
Source: RNAcentral